CUUACACAUCUCUUCAGAAUCCCUGCUUCCUACAUUAUAAUCUUGGGAUUUAAUACAUGUUUUUCAUUCAGGUUAUUAUCAAUAUCAGAUUUAUCUGACUAUGCAUGAACACAGCCACAGAUUCAGGGAAAAAGAUGUAUCUUUCAGCGCUGAAGAGAAUAAAAAUUAAUAAUCCUCAGAGACUUUCAAACUGAAGUGGGCAGGGAAGGGUGGAAAGAACCGAUCUCAUUCUAUGAAGAGCAUGCAGGGAUUUUCACAGAGCAUGUAGUGCUGAGUACAGCACACCAGGCACCCGGGGACACCCAGAGAGCAGCCUUUCCUCAACACAAGAGGAGUGAGCACCGCACAGAGCUGCAGAAAGGGAAUCCCAGAUGGGGUAACAGCAGAUACAAAGACCCCACGGCAGGCCCUGGCCUGGCCUGCUGGAGGAGCAGAACGGAAGCCAGUGGGUCUGGAGUAAAGGGGACCAACUUGUCCCGGUUUGCCCAGAACUUUCCUGGUUUUAACACUAGAAAUCCCAUGUCCCAGGAAACUUCUGAGUCUCAGCCAAGCUGGGAUGAUUUGCCUAGAACUUCCCCUAUUAUAAAACUGAGAGGUCUGUGCCCCAUCAUCCGCCUCAGUCCUAAGCAAGCUGAGGCAGUGGGUCGCCCUAGACUGGAGCAACGUGCAUGAUGGUGGGAAGAGCCAGUGACUCUCUUUCAUGUCCUCUCUGCCCUCGAUCUCAGGAGUCACCCAGGUGGGCACUGGCAUCCAGGAUGAAAACUUCCCAGCACCCCAGCAGUGGCCACGUGACCAGGCAGUGGCCAAUGCACAUGAGGCCAGUGCACAGCAACUGCCAUUAGAGGAAGGAAGAUUUGUGUCCUCUUGUUCUCUUCUCCCCUCCCUGCUGGCUGGUAGUAGAUAGGAUGGACACUGUGGGGGAAGCUACACCCUAAAGAAGUCAAAGCAGCAAGAUGGAAGUACCCUAAGACCCUGAAAAAUGCACAGAGAAGAAUCACCCGACUGGCUUGAACUUUCAUGUGAAAGGAAUGAACCUCUGUCUUAGUAAAGCCACCGUGAUUCAGGGUCCUUGUGAUAUUCACUGAGGCUGUAACAUAAUUGUUGAAAGAACAGGAGCGGGAGGGGAGAUGGAGUCGGAGAGGCAGGCAGAGGUCAGAUCACAUGGGGCCUGUAGGCCAAGGCGGAGGAAGAAACAGGUGACAUAGGACUCAAGGACCCCACCUGCUCCCAGGCGAAGGGAGUUUGCUGUGGGUGCCCCUCCCUGUCUGUGUGUCCAGUGUAUUCAUAUUCUUCAUACCUUGCCCAUAUUGGACAAAUACUUUUUUCUAUUCAAUAUUUAGAAGACAUUGCAUUAAAUAGCAAGAUGGCAGGUGAACAUCAGGAAGGAACAUUAGGAACAUCCACGGCGUUCCAUCCAGGAACCUUCACCGUGGAAACUCUUGUGCUCAUGGGCGUGGUCUCAAGACACAGUCAGCUGUUGGGGAUCAGAGGCGACACUCAUUGUAGCAGAGAGGCAGGACCAACUGGGAGAGGGUCCUUCUGUGACAACUAUUGCAUCACCGGGCUGUGUGAAGUGACUCAGCUGCCAGAACUCACACAAUAUCAUUCUACACCAAACCUCACGGGAAAAAUGCUCCACGACCCUCAGACUUAAACAGCAGCACUGGCUCCUCCCCAGAUCUCCAGCUCCCUGACCCUCAAACUCCAACUCCAACACCAGCUCUGCCCCAGGUCUCCAGCUCCACAAUCCUCAAACUACAACAGCAGCACCAGCUCCCCUGGGGAUCUCCAGCUCAAUGACUCUCAGACUUGGGAGGCAGCUCCAGCUCCCACCAAGCCUCCAGCUCCACAACCUUCAAACUAGAACAGCAGCACCAGCUACUCCCUGGGUCUCCAGCUCCCUCAAAAUUCAACUAUAGCACUGGCUGUUCCCCAGCGCCACCAGCUCCACAACCCUCAACUUACACGGUGGUAGCACCAGCUCCUCCCUAGGUCUCCAGCUACACGACCGUCAAACUUGAACUGCAACACCAGCUCCUCUUCGGCCUCCAGCUCCACAAUCCUCCAACAACAACAGCAACACCGGCUCCUCCCUGAAUCUCCAGCUCAACAACCCUCAGACUUGAGAGGCAGCACCGGCACCUCCCCAAGGCUCCAGCUCCAUGACCCUCAGAUUUGAACAGCGGUAGCACCAGCUCCUGUCCAGGUCUCCAGCUUCAUGAUCCUUAAACUAGAACAGCAGCACCACCACCUCCCUAGGUUUCCAGCUCCACGACCCUAAGACAUGAAUGGCAGGACCGGGUUCCCCGCUAGGGCUCCAGCUCCAAGACCCACAGAUAUAAACGGCAGCACCGGCUCUUCCUGGGAUCUCCAGCUCCACAGCCUUCAAACACGAUCAGCAGCACCAGCUCCCCUCUGGUUCUCCAGCUCCACAAUCCUCAGACAUGAACAGCAGCACAGGCUCCUCCUUGGGUCUCCAGCUUCUCUACCCUCAGACUAGAACAGCAACACUUGUUCCUCCCUGGGUCUCCAGCUCUUACAAGUCUCAGACUUGAAAGGCAGCACUGGCUCCUCAGAAAGUUUCUGGCUCCAAGCUGGUGCUGCUGUCCUAGUUUGAAGGUCAUGGAGCUGGAGACCCGGGGAGGAACCAUUUGAACAGCAGCACUGGCCCCUCCCCGGGUCUCAGGCUCCACGACCCUCAGACUUAAAAAGCCGUAGUACGGGCUUCUCCCUGGGUCUCCAUCUCUACAACCCUCAGACAUGAACAGCAGCAGCACCGCCCCCUCCCCCUGUCUCCAGUUCCACGAACCUCAAACUACAACAGCAGUACCGGCCUCUCCCCAGGUCUCCAGAUCCACGACCCUCAAAAUAGAAUGGCAUCACCGGCUCCUCCCUGGGUCUCCAGCUCCCAAACUCUCAAACUUCAAUUGACACACCGGACCCUCCCCACAGUUAAACAGCAGCACGGGCUGUUCCCCAAAGCUCCAGAUCCACGACCCUCUGACUUAAAGGGCGAUAGCACCAACUCCUCCCUAAGUCUCCAGUUCCACGACCCUCAAACUACACAGCAGCACCGGCUCCUCCUUGGGUCUCCAGCUUCACUACACUCAGACUAGAAUAGCAACACCGGUUCCUCCCUGGAACUCCAGCUCAAUGACUCUCAGACUUGAAAGGCAGCACCAGCUCCUCAAAAAGGUUCUGGCUCCAAGACCCUCGAACUAGAAUAGCAGCAGCUGCUGCAUCUUGGGUCUCCAGCUCCACAACCCUCAAAGUAGAAAAGCAGCCCUGGCUCCUCCCCGAGUCUCCAACUCCUCAAGUCUGAGGGUUGUAGAGCUGGAGACCCGGGGAGGAGUCAGUGCUGCUGUUCUAGUUUGAGGGUCAUGGAUCUGGAGACCCAGGGUGGAGCCGGUGCUGCUGUUCUAGUGUGAGGGUCAUGGAGCUGGAAGACCCCGGGAGGAGCUGCUGCUGCUGUUCUAGUGUGAGGGUCAUGGAGCUGGAAGACCCCGGGAGGAGCUGCUGCUGCUGUCCUAGUUUGAAGGUCAUGGAGCUGGAGACCCCGGAAUGAGCCAUUUGAACAGCAGCACUGGCCCCUCCCCAGGUCUCAGGCUCCACGACCCUCAGACUUAAAAAGCCGUAGUACGGGCUUCUCCCUGGGUCUCCAGCUCUACAACCCUCAGACAUGAACAGCAGCACCGGCUCCUCCCCCUGUCUCCAGUUCCACGAACCUCAAACUACAACAGCAGUACCGGCCUCUCCCCAGGUCUCCAGAUCCAUGACCCUCAAAAUAGAAUGGCAUCAUCAGCUCCUCCCUGGGUCUCCAGCUCCCAAACCCUCAAACUUCAACUAACACAGCAGAUCCUCCCCACAGUUAAACAGCAGCACGGGCUGUUCCCCAAAGCUCCAGAUACACGACCCUCAGUAGCACUGGCUCCUCCCAAGGUCUCCAGUUCCAUGACCCUCAAACUACACAGCAGCACCGGCUCCUCCCCAGGUCUAUAGCUCCACCACCCUCACACUAGACAUCAAGACUACCUCCUUCCCGCUCUCCAGCUACACGACCCUCAAACUUGAACAGCAGCAGCAGCUCCUCCCUAGAUUUCCAGCUCCAUGACCCUAAACCUGCAACAGCAGCACCAGCUCCUCCCUGUACCUCAAGCCCCAUGACCCUCUGACUUGAUCAACAGCAACAGCAGCUCCCUCCCUGGUCUCCAGCUCCACAACCUUCAGCCUUAAACAGCAGCAGCACCAGCUCCUCCCUGGGUCUCCAGCUCCACAACCCUCAGACUAGAACCGCACCCCUCCUCCCUGAGUCUCCAGCUCCAUGACCGUCAAACUACAACAGCAACACAGGUUCCUGUCUGGAUCUCCAGCUCAGCAACUCUCAGAUGAGGCAGCACCGGCAACUCACCAAGGCUCCAGCUCCACAACCCUCAGAUUUGAAUAAUGGUAGCACCAGCUCCUGUCCAGAUCUCCAGCUUCAUGAUCCUUAAACUAGAACAGCAGCACCGCUGCCUCCCUGGGUUUCCAGCUCCACGACCCUAAGACAUGAAUGGCAGAACCGGCUUCCCACAAGGGUUCCAGCUCCAGGACCCACAGAUUUAAAUGGCAGCACUGGCUCUUCCCAGGAUUUCCAGCUCCACUACCCUCAAACUAGAAGAGGAGCACCGGCUCCUCCCUGGGUCUCCAGCUCCCAAACCCUCAGACAUCACCUGACACACUGGAUCCUCCCCACAGUUACAUAGCAGCACGGGCUGUCCCCGAAAACUCGAGAUCCACAACCCUCUGACUUCAAUGGCGGUAGUACUGGUUCCUCCCUAGGUCUCCAGUUCCAUGACCCUCAAACUACACAGCAGCACCAGCUCCUCCCCAGGUCUACAGCUCCACCACCCUCACACUAGACACCAGGACUACCUCCUCCCCGCUCUCCAGCUACACGACCCGCAGAUUUGAACAGCAGCAGCGUCUCCUCCCUGUACCUCAAGCCCCAUAACCCUCAUAUAUGAACAACAGCAAUACCAGCUAAUGCCUAGGGCUCCAGCUCCAGGAUCCACAGAUUUAAACUGCAGCACCAGCUCGUCCAAGGAUCUCCAGCUCCACCACCCUCAGACUAGAACAAGACCUCUACUCCCUGGGUCGCGAGCUUCCGGACCCUCGAACUAUGAAAACAUUGCUCCUCCCUGGGUCCGCAGCUCCACGACCCUCAAACCAGAUCAAGAUCUCUCCUCCCUGUGUCGUCAGCUUCCUGACCCUUGAACUAUGACAACAUUGCUCCUCCCUGGGUCAGCAGCUCCACAACCCUCAAACCAGAUCAAGAUCUCUCCUCCCUGGGUCGCCAGCUUCCUGACCCUCGAACAACAGAAACAUUACUCCUCCCUGGGUCAGCAGCUCCAUGAUCCUCAAACUAGAAUGAGACCUCUCCUCCCUGCGUCGCCAGCUUCUGGACCCUUGAACUAUGAAAAUAUUGCUCCUCCCUGGGUCGGGAGCUCCAUGACCCUCAAACUAGAACAAGACCUCUCCUCCCUAGGUCUGCAGCUUCCAGUCCCUCAAAUAACAACAUUGCUCCUCCCUGGAUCUGCAGCUCCACGACCCUCAGACUAGAACACGAUCUGUCCUCCCUGGGUCACCAGCUUCCGAACCUUCGAACUAAAACAACAUUGCUCCUCCCUGGGUCUGCAGCUCCACGACCCUCAAACUAGAAAAAGACCUCUCCUCACUGUGUCGCCAGCUUCUGGACCCUCGAACUACAAAAACAUUGCUCCUGCCUGGGUCUGCAGCUCCACGACCCUCAAUCCAGAUCAAGAUCUCUCCUCCCUGUGUCAUCAGCUUCCUGACCCUCGAACUAUGACAGCAUUGCUCCUCCCUGGGCGCACCCUCAAACUAGAACAAGACCUCUCCACCCUGCGUCGCCAGUUUCCGGAGCCUCAAACUAAAACAACCUUGCUCCUCCCUGGGUCUGCAGCUCCACAACCCUCAAACUAGAACCAGACCUCUCCUCCCUGUGUUGCCAGCUUCCUGACCCUUGAACUAUGGAAACAUGGCUCCUCCCUAGGUCUGCAGCUCCACGACCCUCAAACUAAAACAAGAUCUCUCCUCCCUGGGUCUGCAGCUCCACGACCCUCAAACUAAAACAAGAUCUCUCCUCCCUGUGUCAUCAGCUUCCAGUCCCUCAAAUAACAACAUUGCUCCUCCCUGGGUCUGCAGCUCCACGACCCUCAAACUAAAACAAGACCUCUCCUCUCUAGGUCUGCAGCUUCCAGUCCCUCAAAUAACAACAUUGCUCCUCCCUGGAUCUGCAGCUCCAUGACUCUCAGACUACAACAAGAUCUCUCCUCCCUGGGUCUGCAGCUUCCAGUCCCCAAAUAACAACAUUGCUCCUCCCUGGAUCUGCAGCUCCACGACCCUCAGACUAGAACAAGAUCUCUCCUCCCUGGGUCACCAGCUUCCGGACCCUGGAACUACAAAAACAUUGCUCCUCCCUGGGUCUGCAGCUCCACAACCCUCAAACUAAAACAAGAUCUCUCCUCCCUGUGUUGCCAGCUUCCGGACCCUCGAACUAUGACAACAUUGCUCCUCCCUGGGUCUGCAGCUCCACGACCCUCAAAGCAGAUCAAGAUCUCUCCUUCCUGUGUCAUCAGCUUCCUGACCCUUGAACUAUGACAACAUUGCUCCUCCCUGGGUCUGCAGCUCCAUGACUCUCAAACUAGAACAGCAGCACCAGCUCCUUCCUGGACCUCCAGGUCAAUGACUCUCAGACUUCAAAGGCAGCAGCAGCUCCACCCCCAGGCUCCAGCUCUAAAACCCUCAGAUGUGAGCAGUGGCAGCACCAGCUCCUUUCUGCGUCUCCGGCUUCAUGAUCCUUAAAUUAGAACAGCAGCGCCAUCUUCUCCCUGCGUCUCCAGCUCCAGGAACCUCAAACUGCAACAGGAGCACCUGUUCCUCUGGGAUUUUCACCUCCACGACCCUGAGGUGUCAGUGGCAGCACUGGCUCCUCCCCUGGGCUGCAGCUCCAGAACCCUCAAGAAUAAUCCCUUCUCAUGAAAUGUAGCAGUCAGGAAAACUGCAGAGGAAGUAAAUAAAUAAAUGUUUUCUUUCAAACUGAUGUUUCUUUUAUAUUCACACAAGUCAGGAAACUUUUCUACUUUCCAUCAACCUUACAAUCUACUUAUAUUCAAUUGUAAGGUGGAAAUCCACCAUUUGAAAUAACCUUUAAAAACUUAGUAACUCUCUUUUACUAUGAUUUUAUCUCACAGCUCUAGAAACGAUCUUUCACUUUGCCUGUGCAGAAGUCUUGUGAACAUUCAAACUAGAAUUUACUUGGUUGAGAUUCUAGAAUACACGUUAUCCCCAGAUGUUCCUGCCCUCCUUAAAAUCUUCUAACAUGUUCCCCUCACCCGAGCAUAAAUGCCAGGUCCUAUCCACAGCCCACAGUGCCCAGCACGGCCCUGCCCUCUGCCCUGACCUUAUGGUCUCCCCUCUGCUGUUACUUUCCUCCCAGACAGGCCUCUGUCACUUCCUGAAACCACACAGGCUCAGGCCUGACUCCGGGCCUUUGCCCCUGCUGUGCCCCCUGCGUGGAGCGCCUUUGCCCGGCUCCCCAUCCUCCUCUCCACCCGCUCAGCUCCAGCCUGCUGGC
Molecule: long non-coding RNA, 7633 nt
Filed under: Homo sapiens (human)
Lineage: Eukaryota; Metazoa; Chordata; Mammalia; Primates; Hominidae
Description: HSALNT0268142
Source: RNAcentral